UACAGAGGUGGCAAGCGUUGUUCGGAAUUACUGGGCGUAAAGGGCGCGUAGGCGGUUCGUCAAGUCCUGUGUGAAAUCCCCCGGCUCAACUGGGGAACUGCACAGGAAACUAGCGGGCUUGAGUUCGGGAGAGGGAAGCGGAAUUCCGGGUGUAGCGGUGAAAUGCGUAGAUAUUCGGAAGAACACCAGUGGCGAAGGCGGCUCACUGGUCCGGUACUGACGCUGAGGUGCGAAAGCGUGGGGAGCAAACAGG
Molecule: ribosomal RNA, 253 nt
Filed under: uncultured bacterium
Lineage: Bacteria
Description: partial 16S ribosomal RNA
Rfam family: Bacterial small subunit ribosomal RNA
Source: RNAcentral